This is a long non-coding RNA of Aegilops tauschii subsp. strangulata, 2913 nucleotides long. RefSeq lists it as uncharacterized. Lineage: Eukaryota; Viridiplantae; Streptophyta; Magnoliopsida; Poales; Poaceae. The record is from RefSeq and is a predicted model, not a curated record.
UGUUCGCUGGUUUCCCUCCUCCCCCGUGCGAGUCAUUCCUCUUCAUCCGCUUCUCCUGCCGGAUCCCCCUUCCUCGUUCUUCAUCUGCUUCUCCUGCCGGAUCCCCCUUCCUCGUUCUUCACCUGCUUCUUCCUCCGGGGAUCCUACUCCGGCAAUACACCGCCGCCCCUCGUGGCUAGUGUCUCCGUCGGCUUCUAGGGUUCCUUCAAGGUCUGCGGCGUCAAGGCUCCCGUGAAGGUCUGCGUCUUCUAGGGUUUCAUCAAGCUCGGCCUCGAAUUGGGCUUUGUCAAGUUCGUCGUCUUGAAGGUACACAAGACCGGCUGCUUGAGAGCAUAUGACUCUAACCAGUUGAGCUAGUGACCUUUAAUGAUUACAGCACAACACAACACCUCAAGAAACUCAAACGCCGAUCCGAAUGCUUUCAAUUCUAACACAAUUUCUUUCGACAAUAAAACGGGAACAAUUUUCAAAUUUGUUCAGCAUUUUGAGAAAACUCAAACAUAUUUAAACAUGCAAAUGAAUUUUGGAGAAGCGAACAUUUUUUAAAAACAGAACAUUUUUUAAACUAGUCAAAAAACUGAACAGGAACAAUUCCUAAAAAACAGGAACAUUUUUCAAAUUCCAAAACAAAAUUUGGAAACAUGAACAACUUUUGCACGCGAACAAAUUUGGAAUUUCCCAAACAUUUUUGAGAACAUGUAGGUUUUGGAAUUUGGGAACAAUUUUCUAAACUAUGAACGAAUUUUGAAUCUUGAGAACAAAUUUUGAAGCACGAACAUUUUUUGCAUUUUAAGAACAAAUUUUAAACUGAGAAUAAUUUUUUAAAAAUCCUGAACAAAUUUGGAAGCGUGAAUUUUUUUGAGUACGUGAACAAAAAAUAGAAAUCCGGUACAUUUUCUGAAUUUCAAAAGUUUUGAACAAUUUUGUGUAAUGAGAACAUUUUUUGAAUUUUAAGAACAUUUUUUCGAAAACUGAACAUUUUUUGAAAACAUGAACGUUUUGGAAUUUGUGAACAAUUUUUUAAAGCACAAACAUUUUUUGAAUCCUGAGAACAAAUUUCAAAGCACGAACAAAUUUUUAAAGCAUGAAUUGUUUUUGAAUCUUGAGAACAAUUUUUGAAACGGAGAACAAUUUUGAAAAAUCCCUAACAAAUUUGGAAGCGGGAAUUUUUUAGAAUACAUAAACAAAGAAUUGAAAUCCGGUACUUUUCUGAAUUUCAAAAGUUUUGAACUUUUUUGUGUAAUGAGAACAAUUUUAUAAUUUUGAGAACAUUUUUUUGAGAACUGAAUUUUUCUUGGAAACAUGAACAAAACUUGAAUAUUUUGAAAAAUAAAAUAAAAUAAGAGUAGAAAAUAAAAAGAAAUAAAAAACCAAAUAAAGAAAAUUGUUGAAAAGAGAAAUUAACUUGAAAAGGAAAACUGAAAGAAAACAAAAAAAUAAGGAAAAGAAAAGGAAAAAAAACAGAAAAAGGAAGAAGAAAAAACAGAAAAGAGUAAAAAAAAAGGGAAAAAAAACGGUUCAGGAACUUUCUAGAUGGUUCCCAAAACCAGUAAGAACCAGCUAGCAACGCUCUAGAAGGCGCCACGGUAGAACCAGAUCAAAGAAACAGAAACAUCCUCGACGAAACAGUAGAAACAAAGAUCCGCGCGGGAAAGAAGGGUCGCGGCCCAGAAAGCCCGCGAACGAACUCCCCUGUGCGAACUCUCGUCUAGUUGACGCAGACUGCGGCGUAUAGGAACUCCCAGUCGGCGCUACUAAAUACGCGGAAUAGAAGGUCCCAGUUUUAACCACAUACCAUCCAUGCCUGCGGGUACCUGGCCCAUUUGGCAGGGUUGGAUACGUUCACUCGCAGUUGGUUGAACCAGACCAGGCCAUCUGGGCCGUGCUACGCGGGCCGAGCCAAAAGAACGCAUUGUUAUACGUUGGUACUCUUUUAUUUCUUUCUUAUUUUUCUUCAUUUUCUUUGGGUUUUUUGCUUACCUUUUUUUGUCGGUUUUUAUUAUUUUCUUCCUUUACACACACGUCUUCUUAUUUCUCAGUCUAUGUACAUUUUUAUCAUCACUUCAGAUAUUUUUAAAAUACAUGAUGUAUAUUUUUUAAAAUACAUGUUUUGAACACUUUUUUGAAUUCAUAAUAACAUUUUUCUAUAUACACGUUGUACAUCUUUUAAAUGGAACUAAACAUAUUUUAACCUACAGGGUCAUUUUUAUUACAUUGUAUAAACUUUUUUUCAAACGUGUUGACUUUUUAUUUUUGAAUCACCAGAAUUUUUAUUUAGGAUUUCACGAAAAAAAUUGAAUUGCUGAAAUUUUUCUUUAAAAUGUGAUGCACAUUUUUUUAAUGGUAUGAAACAUUUUUUUAAAGUAUGCAAAUAUUUUUCAAUUUUUUUAAUAAAAUAUCAGAAAACAUUUUGGAAACUCGUGAACAUUUUAUUUAAAUGGUAUGUGUAUUUUUGGUAUGUAUGACUUUUUGUUUAAUUACUCAGACAUUAUUUUACACUAGCAAAAAGGCCCGUGCGUUGCAAUUGGAGAAAAAAAUACCACACGCUUUUAAUUAAAAAAAUGGUCUAUAAUCUGAUAAUUUGUUGCUACGGCCCAAACAAAGAUGGUAUUAGCCUACAAAAACGCAGUUCAAGAUUCCACAGCUAUUCUAUUUCGACACGACUUGCACAUAGAUUUAAUCCGUACAAAGAAAUGGGCAAGUGAUCAUGCAUUUAUUCAUGUUAUGUGUGAAAUGGGGUAUUGUUAUGGGCCGGUAAAGGAAAACGACAAAAAUAGACGAUGACACAUUAGCACACAACGGAGACGCGUGUAUCAAGGGCGGUUUUCAGUUUAAGCAUCACUAACUUAGGGUAACUCUUGAACACAUUUUUUCACAUGCAUAUUUCUUAAAUACAUGAAGAGUUGUUAAAAA